GAUGAACGCUGGCGGCGUGCCUAAUACAUGCAAGUAGAACGCUGAAGGAGGAGCUUGCUCUUCUGGAUGAGUUGCGAACGGGUGAGUAACGCGUAGGUAACCUGCCUGGUAGCGGGGGAUAACUAUUGGAAACGAUAGCUAAUACCGCAUGACAACAGUUAUUGCAUGAUAACUGUUUAAAAGGGGCAACUGCUCCACUACCAGAUGGACCUGCGUUGUAUUAGCUAGUUGGUGAGGUAACGGCUCACCAAGGCGACGAUACAUAGCCGACCUGAGAGGGUGAUCGGCCACACUGGGACUGAGACACGGCCCAGACUCCUACGGGAGGCAGCAGUAGGGAAUCUUCGGCAAUGGACGGAAGUCUGACCGAGCAACGCCGCGUGAGUGAAGAAGGGUUUCGGAUCGUAAAGCUCUGUUGUAAGAGAAGAACGAGUGUGAGAGUGGAAAGUUCACACUGUGACGGUAUCUUAACAGAAAGGGACGGCUAACUACGUG
RNAcentral lists this ribosomal RNA (495 nucleotides) under uncultured bacterium. RNAcentral's name for it is "partial 16S ribosomal RNA". It matches the Rfam family "Bacterial small subunit ribosomal RNA", at positions 28 to 507 of the family's 1533-position model. The record is from RNAcentral.